UGGAGACAAAGGAGAAAAGGGACAGCCUGGGGACGUGGGAGAACCUGGAGAGAAGGGCACCAAAGGAGAGCGAGGGGAAGGAGGUCAGAAGGUAAAGGGCAGCCAGGGGGGGCUUUUCCUCCUUUUCCCAAAUCCCACA
Zonotrichia albicollis (white-throated sparrow) is the source of this 139-nucleotide non-coding RNA. The record is from RefSeq and is a predicted model, not a curated record. NCBI's taxonomy places the organism in Eukaryota, Metazoa, Chordata, Aves, Passeriformes, Passerellidae.